RNAcentral lists this ribosomal RNA (479 nucleotides) under uncultured organism. RNAcentral describes it as "partial 16S ribosomal RNA". It matches the Rfam family "Bacterial small subunit ribosomal RNA", at positions 331 to 801 of the family's 1533-position model. The record is from RNAcentral.
GUACACUCCUACGGGAGGCAGCAGUGGGGAAUUUUGGACAAUGGGCGAAAGCCUGAUCCAGCAAUGCCGCGUGAGUGAAGAAGGCCUUCGGGUUGUAAAGCUCUUUUGUCAGGGAAGAAACGGUGAAAGCUAAUAUCUUUUGCUAAUGACGGUACCUGAAGAAUAAGCACCGGCUAACUACGUGCCAGCAGCCGCGGUAAUACGUAGGGUGCAAGCGUUAAUCGGAAUUACUGGGCGUAAAGCGUGCGCAGGCGGUUUUGUAAGUCUGAUGUGAAAUCCCCGGGCUCAACCUGGGAAUUGCAUUGGAGACUGCAAGGCUAGAAUCUGGCAGAGGGGGGUAGAAUUCCACGUGUAGCAGUGAAAUGCGUAGAUAUGUGGAGGAACACCGAUGGCGAAGGCAGCCCCCUGGGUCAAGAUUGACGCUCAUGCACGAAAGCGUGGGGAGCAAACAGGAUUAGAUACCCCAGUAGUCCCAUGAU